This 192-nucleotide ribosomal RNA is filed under the name uncultured bacterium. RNAcentral describes it as "partial 16S ribosomal RNA". It matches the Rfam family "Bacterial small subunit ribosomal RNA", at positions 338 to 521 of the family's 1533-position model. The record is from RNAcentral.
CCUACGGGAGGCAGCAGUGAGGAAUUUUGCGCAAUGGGGGAAACCCUGACGCAGCAACGCCGCGUGNGUGAAGAAGGCUUUCGGGUCGUAAAGCCCUGUCAGGUGGGAAGAAAUCUUCCGGUACUAAUAAUGCCAGAAGCUGACGGUACCACCAGAGGAAGCACCGGCCAACUCCGUGCCAGCAGCCGCGGU